Molecule: long non-coding RNA, 884 nt
Organism: Oncorhynchus keta (chum salmon)
Lineage: Eukaryota; Metazoa; Chordata; Actinopteri; Salmoniformes; Salmonidae
Exons: 5
Source: RefSeq, a predicted model, not a curated record
AAUGGAUUCUACCAGGUCCCAGUUUACCUAAACCCUUCAAUGGAUUCUACCAGGUCCCAGACAGUUUACCUAAAGCCUUCAAUGGAUUCUACCAGGUCCCAGACAGUUUACCUAAACCCUUCAAUGGAUUCUACCAGGUCCCAGUUUACCUAAACCCUUCAAUGGAUUCUACCAGGUCCCAGACAGUUUACCUAAACCCUUCAAUGGAUUCUACCAGGUCCCAGACAGUUUACCUAAACCCUUCAAUGGAUUCUACCAGGUCCCAGACAGUUUACCUAAACCCUUCAAUGGAUUCUACCAGGUCCCAGACAGUUUACCUAAACCAUUCAAUGGAUUCUACCAGGUCCCAGACAGUUUACCUAAACCCUUCAAUGGAUUCUACCAGGUCCCAGACAGUUUACCUAAACCCUUCAAUGGAUUCUACCAGGUCCCAGACAGUUUACCUAAACCCUUCAGUGGAUUCUACCAGGUCCCAGACAGUUUACCUAAACCCUUCAAUGGAUUCUACCAGGUCCCAGUUUACCUAAACCCUUCAAUGGAUUCUACCAGGUCCCAGACAGUUUACCUAAACCCUUCAAUGGAUUCUACCAGGUCCCAGACAGUUUACCUAAACCCUUCAGUGGAUUCUACCAGGUCCCAGUUUACCUAAACCCUUCAAUGGAUUCUACCAGGUCCCAGACAGUUUACCUAAACCCUUCAAUGGAUUCUACCAGGUCCCAGUUUACCUAAACCCUUCAAUGGAUUCUACCAGGUCCCAGUUUACCUAAACCCUUCAAUGGAUUCUACCAGGUCCCAGACAGUUUACCUAAACCCUUCAAUGGAUUCUACCAGGUCCCAGACAGUUUACCUAAACCCUUCAAUGGAUUCUACCAGGUCCCAGACAG